Molecule: ribosomal RNA, 484 nt
Filed under: uncultured bacterium
Lineage: Bacteria
Description: partial 16S ribosomal RNA
Rfam family: Bacterial small subunit ribosomal RNA
Source: RNAcentral
AGUGAACGCUGGCGGCGUGCUUAACACAUGCAAGUCGAACGAGAACGGGUUAUAGCUUGCUAUAAUCGUCAGCUAAGUGGCGCACGGGUGAGUAAUGUAUAGGUAAUAUGCCUCUUACUAAGGGAUAACAAAUGGAAACGUUUGCUAAUACCUUAUACUCCUUAUUAACAUAAGUUAAUAAGGGAAAGAUUUAUUGGUAAGAGAUUAGCCUGUAUUGUAUCAGUUAGUUGGUGGGGUAAUGGCUUACCAAGACUAUGACACAUAACUGGUUUGAGAGGAUGAUCAGUCACACUGGAACUGAGACACGGGCCAGACUCCUACGGGAGGCAGCAGUGGGGAAUAUUGCACAAUGGACGAAAGUCUAAUGCAGCAACGCCGCGUGGAGGAUGACACAUUUCGGUGCGUAAACUCCUUUUAUAUGAGAAGAUAAUGACGGUAUUAUAUGAAUAAGCACCGGCUAACUCCGUGCCAGCAGCCGCAGUAA